CCUACGGGAGGCAGCAGUGGGGAAUAUUGCACAAUGGGCGCAAGCCUGAUGCAGCAACGCCGCGUGAGGGACGACGGCCUUCGGGUUGUAAACCUCUUUUAGUAGGGAAGAAGCGAAAGUGACGGUACCUGCAGAAAAAGCACCGGCUAACUACGUGCCAGCAGCCGCGGUAAUACGUAGGGUGCAAGCGUUGUCCGGAAUUAUUGGGCGUAAAGAGCUCGUAGGCGGUUUGUCGCGUCUGCUGUGAAAACCCCGAGGCCCAACCUCGGGCCUGCAGUGGGUACGGGCAGACUAGAGUGCGGUAGGGGAGAUUGGAAUUCCUGGUGUAGCGGUGGAAUGCGCAGAUAUCAGGAGGAACACCGAUGGCGAAGGCAGAUCUCUGGGCCGUAACUGACGCUGAGGAGCGAAAGCAUGGGGAGCGAACAGGAUUAGAUACCCUGGUAGUCCAUGCCGUAAACGUUGGGAACUAGAUGUAGGGACCAUUCCACGGUUUCUGUGUCGCNGCUACGCAUACGUUCCCGUCCGUCGGGUAGGUACGGCCGCGNGGACGUAACGUACGUAAGGUAAGUAGUUACGCGUGAGACGUGCCGACGGCGACGACGAGGGAGGAGG
This 612-nucleotide ribosomal RNA is filed under the name uncultured bacterium. RNAcentral's name for it is "bacterial SSU rRNA". The stretch from base 1 to 523 matches the Rfam family "Bacterial small subunit ribosomal RNA", at positions 338 to 873 of the family's 1533-position model. The record is from RNAcentral.